AUAGGGUUAGUGUAAUUGGUAGCACACCAGUCUCCAAAACUGGGAGAGCAGGUUCAAGUCCUGUGCCCUGUGCCA
This 75-nucleotide transfer RNA is filed under the name Bacillus spizizenii. RNAcentral describes it as "tRNA-Trp". It matches the Rfam family "tRNA". Rfam says of the family: Transfer RNA (tRNA) molecules are approximately 80 nucleotides in length. Lineage: Bacteria; Bacillati; Bacillota; Bacilli; Caryophanales; Bacillaceae. The record is from RNAcentral. RNAcentral also lists the same sequence under 4 other names.